GCCUGGUUGGCUCAGUUAUUAGAGCUUGAGACUUUUGAUAUCGGGGUCGUGAGUUCAACCCCCAUGUUGGGCA
Molecule: transfer RNA, 73 nt
Filed under: Ailuropoda melanoleuca (giant panda)
Lineage: Eukaryota; Metazoa; Chordata; Mammalia; Carnivora; Ursidae
Rfam family: tRNA
About the family: Transfer RNA (tRNA) molecules are approximately 80 nucleotides in length. Their secondary structure includes four short double-helical elements and three loops (D, anti-codon, and T loops).
Source: Rfam by way of RNAcentral